Molecule: transfer RNA, 66 nt
Filed under: Palinurellus wieneckii
Lineage: Eukaryota; Metazoa; Arthropoda; Malacostraca; Decapoda; Synaxidae
Description: tRNA-Cys
Source: RNAcentral
GGCUUGGUAGUUUAUUUUAAGACGUUAGAUUGCAAAUCUGAAGAUGUAGGUUGAAUACUUAAGCUU